RNAcentral lists this ribosomal RNA (365 nucleotides) under uncultured eukaryote. RNAcentral describes it as "SSU rRNA". It matches the Rfam family "Eukaryotic small subunit ribosomal RNA", at positions 587 to 972 of the family's 1831-position model. The record is from RNAcentral.
AGCUCCAAUAGCGUAUAUUAAAGUUGUUGCAGUUAAAAAGCUCGUAGUUGGACCUAUGACAAGGCCGACUGGUCUGCCGCAAGGCAGCUACUGGUUGUGCCGCGUCACGAUUCUAGGGAACUGUACAAAUUGUGCAGGGAACUAGGGAUUACUUUGAAGAAAUUAGAGUGUUCAAAGCAGGCAUUUGCUUGAAUACAUUAGCAUGGAAUAAUGAGAUAUGACUACGGUCUUAUUUCGUUGGUUUGAGGGCAGUAGUAAUGAUUAAUAGGGAUAGUUGGGGGCAUUUGUAUUCAGUAGUCAGAGGUGAAAUUCUUGGAUUUGCUGAAGACAAACUAGUGCGAAAGCAUUUGCCAAGGAUGUUUUCA